CCCCACUGCUAUCGGGAUGGGACUAAGACAUGCUAGUCGUGCGUCUCCAAGCCAUGGCGGAGACGCGGCGCACAGCUCAGUAACACGUGGCUAACCUGCCCUUAGGACAGGGACAACCCCGGGAAACUGGGGCUAAUCCCUGAUAGGUGAGGGUUCCUGGAAUGGGCCCUCGCCGAAAGGGCGCCUAGACCAUGCUUCUAGGCGCUGCCCAAGGAUGGAGCCGCGGCCGAUCAGGUUGUUGGUGGGGUAACGGCUCACCAAGCCUAUAACCGGUACGGGCCGUGAGAGCGGGAGCCCGGAGAUGGGCACUGAGACAAGGGCCCAGGCCCUACGGGGCGCAGCAGUCGCGAAAACUCCGCAAUGCGCGAAAGCGUGACGGGGCUACCCCGAGUGCCGUCCGCUGAGGAUGGCUUUUCCCCGGUGUAAUGAGCCGGGGGAAUAAGGAGAGGGCAAGUCUGGUGUCAGCCGCCGCGGUAAUACCAGCUCUCCGAGUGGUAGGGACGAUUAUUGGGCUUAAAGCGUCCGUAGCCGGCUUAGCAAGUCUUCUGUUAAAUUCAGCGACCUAAUCGUUGAGCCGCGGGAGAUACUACUAGGCUAGGAGGCGGGAGAGGCCGACGGUAUUCUCGGGGUAGGGGUGAAAUCCUAUAAUCCCGGGAGGACCACCAGUGGCGAAGGCUGUCGGCUAGAACGCGCUCGACGGUGAGGGACGAAAGCUGGGGGAGCGAACCGGAUUAGAUACCCGGGUAGUCCCAGCUGUAAACGAUGCGGGCUAGGUGUUGGGGUGGCUACGAGCCACUUCAGUGCCGCAGGGAAGCCAUUAAGCCCGCCGCCUGGGGAGUACGGCCGCAAGGCUGAAACUUAAAGGAAUUGGCGGGGGAGCACCACAAGGCGUGAAGCUUGCGGUUC
Molecule: ribosomal RNA, 906 nt
Filed under: uncultured archaeon
Lineage: Archaea
Description: bacterial SSU rRNA
Rfam family: Archaeal small subunit ribosomal RNA
Source: RNAcentral